RNAcentral lists this ribosomal RNA (429 nucleotides) under Pseudomonadota bacterium. RNAcentral's name for it is "Proteobacteria bacterium partial 16S ribosomal RNA". It matches the Rfam family "Bacterial small subunit ribosomal RNA", at positions 355 to 776 of the family's 1533-position model. The record is from RNAcentral. Lineage: Bacteria; Pseudomonadati; Pseudomonadota.
UGGGGAAUAUUGGACAAUGGGCGAAAGCCUGAUCCAGCCAUGCCGCGUGUGUGAAGAAGGUCUUCGGAUUGUAAAGCACUUUAAGUUGGGAGGAAGGGCAGUAAGCGAAUACCUUGCUGUUUUGACGUUACCGACAGAAUAAGCACCGGCUAACUCUGUGCCAGCAGCCGCGGUAAUACAGAGGGUGCAAGCGUUAAUCGGAAUUACUGGGCGUAAAGCGCGCGUAGGUGGUUCGUUAAGUUGAAUGUGAAAGCCCCGGGCUCAACCUGGGAACUGCAUCCAAAACUGGCGAGCUAGAGUAGGGCAGAGGGUGGUGGAAUUUCCUGUGUAGCGGUGAAAUGCGGAGAUAUAGGAAGGAACACCAGUGGCGAAGGCGACCACCUGGGCUCAUACUGACACUGAGGUGCGAAAGCGUGGGGAGCAAACAGG